GACAGCAGUAGCCGCGGGAAUACAGAGGGUGCGAGCGUUAAUCGGAUUUACUGGGCGUAAAGCGUGCGUAGGCGGCUUUUUAAGUCGGAUGUGAAAUCCCUGAGCUUAACUUAGGAAUUGCAUUCGAUACUGGGAAGCUAGAGUAUGGGAGAGGAUGGUAGAAUUCCAGGUGUAGCGGUGAAAUGCGUAGAGAUCUGGAGGAAUACCGAUGGCGAAGGCAGCCAUCUGGCCUAAUACUGACGCUGAGGUACGAAAGCAUGGGGAGCAAACAGGAUUAGAUACCCCGGUAGUCCCUGUCUCUUAUAC
RNAcentral lists this ribosomal RNA (306 nucleotides) under uncultured bacterium. Its description in RNAcentral is "partial 16S ribosomal RNA". It matches the Rfam family "Bacterial small subunit ribosomal RNA", at positions 507 to 807 of the family's 1533-position model. The record is from RNAcentral.